AGGAUUAACGCUGGCGGCGUGCCUGACACAUGCAAGUCGAACGAGGCCGCAAGGCCGAGUGGCGGACGGGUGAGUAACACGUGACCAACCAACCUCGAAGUUGGGAAUAGCUCUGCGAAAGUAGGGGUAAUACCGAAUGUGGCCCAGGGCGGGCAUCCGCCUUGGUCUAAAGAUUCAUCGCUUCGAGACGGGGUCGCGGCCUAUUAGCUUGUUGGUGAGGUAACGGCUCACCAAGGCGAUGAUGGGUAGCUGGUCUGAGAGGACGACCAGCCACACUGGGACUGAGACACGGCCCAGACUCCUACGGGAGGCAGCAGUGAGGAAUCUUCCGCAAUGGGCGAAAGCCUGACGCAGCGACGCCGCGUGCGGGAUGAAGGCCUUCGGGUUGUAAACCGCUUUCAGCAGGGACGAAAUUGACGGUACCUGCAGAAGAAGGCCCGGCCAACUACGUGCCAGCAGCCGC
Molecule: ribosomal RNA, 463 nt
Filed under: uncultured bacterium
Lineage: Bacteria
Description: SSU rRNA
Rfam family: Bacterial small subunit ribosomal RNA
Source: RNAcentral